RNAcentral lists this ribosomal RNA (410 nucleotides) under uncultured bacterium. RNAcentral's name for it is "bacterial SSU rRNA". It matches the Rfam family "Bacterial small subunit ribosomal RNA", at positions 186 to 577 of the family's 1533-position model. The record is from RNAcentral.
GGGGGCACGGGGGGAGGAAAGCAGGGGAUCGCAAGACCUCGCGCUAUUGGAUGAGCCGAAGUCGGAUUAGCUAGUUGGUGGGGUAAUGGCCUACCAAGGCGACGAUCCGUAGCUGGUCUGAGAGGACGACCAGCCACACUGGAACUGAGACACGGUCCGGACUCCUACGGGAGGCAGCAGUGGGGAAUAUUGGACAAUGGGGGAAACCCUGAUCCAGCGACGCCGCGUGUGUGAAGAAGGCCUGCGGGUUGUAAAGCACUUUUAGUGGGGACAAAAAGCCAUUGACUAAUACUUGAUGGUCUUGAUUUAACCCAAAGAAAAAGCACCGGCUAACUCUGUGCCAGCAGCCGCGGUAAUACAGAGGGUGCGAGCGUUAAUCGGAAUUACUGGGCGUAAAGCGCGCGUAGACG